CUUAUACUUUCUCUGUCCUAAAAUUCUUGUCUUAAAUUUACCUACAUAUGAAUGUAUCUAGUCUCGUUUUAGUAUUUAAAUACAUUCAUUUCUAAACAAACUUAAGAUAAAAAAUUUGGGAUGGAUGGAAUAUUAG
Molecule: microRNA precursor, 136 nt
Filed under: Hordeum vulgare
Lineage: Eukaryota; Viridiplantae; Streptophyta; Magnoliopsida; Poales; Poaceae
Description: microRNA MIR1122
Rfam family: MIR1120/MIR1122 microRNA precursor family
Source: RNAcentral